UGGUUCAAUAAUUUCCGAGAUCUUGAGGUUCAGUUUUUUUCAUGACCUUUUUUUUGCAAAUUUCAGAAAAGAUUAUGGGGAAAGUUCCAUCCAGAUUCAAUUUUUUUUUUGUCGAAAGCAGCAGCGUCGUGUUUCAUUAAUUAAGAAGGAAAGAAGUAAGGGGGCCUCAACGAGGGAAAAAGAAAACUGUACAUACAGAAAGAACAUCUAGAACAACUAGGAAAACUUCUGGCGGCCGAACAGAGAUCAACAAUCAUGGCAAC
RNAcentral lists this long non-coding RNA (263 nucleotides) under Brachypodium distachyon (stiff brome). RNAcentral's name for it is "long non-coding RNA (BDIS_LNC004527)". The record is from RNAcentral. Lineage: Eukaryota; Viridiplantae; Streptophyta; Magnoliopsida; Poales; Poaceae.